GCCUCUCCCGUGCCCCGCCGCGUUCCCACUCCCGGCCAAAAGCCAGCCAGGCCCUUCCUACCUUUUCUCCGGAGCCGUUCCUGCCCCAGCCUUGGAGGGACUCCCCACUAGGCCCCGCCGCGCUCAGGGCGACGCGGUGCCGGGCCCCGCCUGUCCCGACGUGGUCCGGCCCAGCCCGCGCACCCUGGAGUCUGGGCCCCGCCAGGCCCGCCACACCCAGCGCCCGGCGCGCCCUCCCUGCAGGCCUCGGCCCGCCCCCCGCCUCGAGCGUCCGCGGCUCUGCCUCCCCGUGGCGCCGGCCGUCGGGCCCGCCUCCGAAGACGUGGAGCGCCGCUGCGGCCGCACAUUUGUAAAAGAUGAAAGUGACCUUAUCAGCUUUGGAUACUUGUGAGAGUUCCUUCACGCCUUUGGUGGUCCUAGAACUUGCUCAGGAUGUCAAAGAAGAAACCAAAGAAUGGCUGAAAAACAGAAUUAUCUCUAAAAAGGAAGAUGGAGGUGCCCAGCUGCUGUUUAGACCAUUGUUAAAUAAAUAUGAGAAAGAAACACUAGAAAAUCAGAACUUAUAUCUUGUCGGUGCCUCCAAGAUUACAUUGUUACUGGGUGCGGAAGCAAUGGGUCUGGUAAAAGAGUGUAAUGAUAACACUAUGAGAGCCUUCACAUAUGGAACCCGAUAUAACUUCAAAGAUUUUGAUGAUGACAAUGAUGACUUCCUCACGAUGGCAGAAUGUCAAUUCAUUAUCAAACAUGAACUCGAAAAUCUUAGAGCCAGAGAUGAAAAGAUGAUCCCUGGUUACCCCCAGGCAAAGCUGUAUCCAGGAAAGUCGUUAUUGAGAAGAUUGCUCACCUCUGGCAUCGUGAUUCAGGUGUUCCCGCUGCAUGAUAAUGAAGCCUUGAAGAAACUGGAGGACGCCUGGUACACUCGCUUUAGUCUCAAGUAUCAGCCCAUAGACCAUAUUCGUGGCUACUUUGGGGAAACAAUUGCUCUUUACUUUGGAUUUUUGGAAUAUUUCACUGUUGCCUUAAUCCCCAUGGCGGUCAUUGGGUUACCUUACUACUUAUUUGUGUGGGAAGACUAUGACAAGUACGUGAUCUUCGCCUCCUUCAACCUCAUCUGGUCCACAGUGAUCCUGGAAGUGUGGAAGCGUGGCUGUGCCAAUAUGACCUACAGGUGGGGGACACUUGUCAUGAAGAGACAGUUUGAGGAGCCCCGGCCAGGAUUCCAUGGGGUCCUGGGUAUCAAUCCCGUCACCGGCAGGAAGGAACCUCUGUACCCCAGCUACAAGAGGCAGUUGCGCAUUUACCUGGUCUCUCUGCCGUUUGUGUGCCUCUGCCUCUAUUUCUCUCUGUAUGUCAUGAUGAUUUACUUUGACAUGGAGGCCUGGGCCUUGAGUCUGCACGAGAAUAGUGGAUCCGAGUGGACCAGUGUCCUGUUGUAUGUGCCCAGCAUCAUCUAUGCCAUUGUGAUUGAGAUCAUGAACCGCCUCUAUCGAUACGCUGCUGAGUUCCUAACUUCGUGGGAGAAUCACAGAUUGGAAUCUGCCUACCAGAAUCAUCUAAUUCUGAAAGUUUUAGUGUUCAACUUUCUGAAUUGCUUUGCCUCCCUCUUCUACAUCGCCUUUGUCUUGAGGGAUAUGAAGCUGUUGCGUCAGAGUCUGGCCACUCUCCUGAUUACCUCCCAGAUCCUUAACCAAAUUAUGGAGUCUCUUCUUCCUUACUGGCUCCAAAGGAAGCACCACGUGCAGGUGAAGAGGAAGGUGCAGGCUUUGAAAGCGGACAUCGAUGCUACAUUGUACGAACAGGUUGUCCUGGAGAAAGAAAUGGGAACCUAUCUGGGUACCUUUGAUGAUUACUUGGAGUUAUUUCUUCAGUUCGGUUAUGUGAGCCUUUUCUCCUGCGUCUACCCAUUAGCAGCUGCCUUUGCUGUGUUAAAUAACUUCACUGAAGUUAAUUCGGAUGCCUUAAAAAUGUGCAGGGUCUUGAAACGUCCAUUCUCAGAACCUUCAGCCAAUAUUGGUGUCUGGCAGUUGGCUUUUGAAACAAUGAGUGUUAUAUCUGUGGUCACUAACUGUGCUCUAAUUGGAAUGUCACCACAAGUGAAUGCCCUCUUUCCAGAGUCAAAAUUGGACCUCGUUUUGAUUGUGGUAGCCGUGGAGCAUGCACUCCUGGCUUUAAAGUUUGUACUUGCGUUUGCCAUACCUGAUAAACCACGGCAUAUCCAGAUGAAACUGGCCCGAUUGGAAUUUGAGUCUUUGGAGGCACUCAAGCAGCAGAUAACAGAAUUCUCUGCUGAGUGCAAUGUAGAACUUGACCACCGGGAGACAAAAGACUCCUUUUUAAUACUCCACCCUUGGAAAUGGAUGGGUUUCAUACGCCACCCUUGGAGGCCUUGCAAAAGAGAAGGAACUGCCUGCUUUGGACAUUUACCUACUUUCUGGCCGUGAGCUGUCUCAGAUCCCACCCCACCCCCCACCACCCCCACCACCCCACCCUGCCCAAGCUCUGUGGUUCCUUCAAAACGGUUACUCUCCAGCUGUAUUUUAACCCAAAACAGGUCAUUUUGAAAUGCGAGUCAACCAGAACUCAUCUGGACUUCAAGUGGAUUUCUGGAAAUGAAAACUGGGGUCACCUCCCCGGGCAGUGGGCUGCUUUCAGAAAUUACAGCGGGGCUCCGCUGGGUACCUGCUCCUUCAGUGGCGACAUUCACGUGUAGUGGGCUUGAAAUAAAGGAGAGCUUAGAGUUUCGAGAUCAACAUGGUAGGACAGAGCUGCAGGGUAGGAUUCUGUAGAAUCUGUGUGCGUAGGUCAGUCACUAUUUCUUUUCUUCCGCCCCCCCCCCCCCCCCCACUCCUCAUCUCUGUCUCUUCUUCUUUUUUCCUGGGUUUCAAGAAAGGAAAAGGCCUACGUGCCCAGAGUGGCCAUUCUUUGAAUUUUAUGUUAUCCAUACGCCGCCCUCCUUUUAACCUUCAUUCUUCAUGUUUGGGUUACUAUUUGCGUGCACGCUCGCGCUCUCUCUCUCUCCCCCUCUCUCUCCGCUUCAUUUCCUUUUAGCAAACUAUCCUGCUUUCUCUCCUGUGGAUCGUUGCAGAUGCUCAUUCAUGCACCCCUGGUCUCAACCCCUCCCCCGGGAUGGCCACAGACUCGUGGCCUGUGCUCUUGGCCAGCAUUCCUGCUUGGGAAGCUGUGUGUCAAGGAUAAGGGUGACAGCCCUUGUGAAGACUGCCCUCUCUUAGUGGGGGGCUUGGGGUUGAGGGGCUCAUCUCCUCUCCGAGUGGCCCGUGCUGGCCAGGCGUUGGUGGGGGAGCCCCUCCAGUGCGGCUGACCCCUGCGGGGCCUGGGAGAUAUGCGGGCUGCUUUCCUUGUAAGAGCAGAGGUUGGGAUGGACCUCAUUCAGAUCCCGCUGUCAGAGAUGCAGCCCGACGCCAACUUAACUCGCUGUCCCCUGAAGAAAACGGCCCGCCCCUUCGAUGGUCCUAAUUAACUCGCCUCUGAACGUUGCCAUACCAGAUGGCAAACGAGGGGCUGUCUCACCUGGAACCAAGAAGUGCAUGCGUCCUAGGGAGGAGAACACUCUCUGUCCCUCCUCUCCAGAAGCCUCUCUCCAGGCUUGGGCUGAGGAAAGUGCAAAGUAGGGUGGGAGAAACAGGAAACAAAAGGCUGAACAUUCGAGAGCUCUAACAGAAGCUGCCUCCUGCCACAUCCUGAGUGCAGCUUUGUUCGUGGCCCUGCCAUAGUAGAGCUUUGGCUUGCGAUCAUAGUGCACAUAAUUUUCGUUGUUUCAACAAGGCAGGGAAUAAAGACAAUUGUUUGCCA
RNA transcript from Herpailurus yagouaroundi (jaguarundi), 3810 nucleotides. It is a transcript of the gene named anoctamin 10, with no coding region annotated. NCBI's taxonomy places the organism in Eukaryota, Metazoa, Chordata, Mammalia, Carnivora, Felidae. The record is from RefSeq and is a predicted model, not a curated record. The transcript is spliced from 14 exons.